This 627-nucleotide unclassified non-coding RNA is filed under the name Hevea brasiliensis (rubber tree). Lineage: Eukaryota; Viridiplantae; Streptophyta; Magnoliopsida; Malpighiales; Euphorbiaceae. The record is from RNAcentral.
AAUUCAUAAAUACAUGCAUUGCUUCAUUGGAUUUGCUAGGGUGUGUUAUUAUUGUGAAAUGGUUGACCGAGACUUCUUCCUUGAGACAUGUUUGUGCUCUGUGGUUAUGCAUAAUGCCCUUUUUUCUACCUGCAGAAUGAGUCUGAAUGUGCUUAUUACAUGAGAACUGGACAGUGCAAGUUUGGAAGUACCUGUAAAUUUCACCAUCCCCAACCUUCUAACAUGAUGGUCUCCUUACGUGGUUCUCCUGUUUAUCCUCCCGUUCCUUCUGCAACAACUCCUGGUCAGCUGUCCUACCCCUUGUCUAGAGGUUCUUUUAUCCCUGGGGCACGCUGGCAAGGUCCUUCAGGUUACACUCCAUUGAUAGUACCUCAGGGAGUAGUAUCAGUUCCAGGAUUUGCAUACAGUGGUCAGAUGGGCUCAGUUUCUUCUCCUGAGGGCCAGGGACAGACAGCUGGAAAUAACCAGGUCUAUGGAACUUCACGAUCCAGUGAUCCAGUGGCCAUGGGAUCUCAAGCAGUCACUUCCCCAUAUCGUCAAGCUUCUGGUCCUAUGGGGUACUAUGCAUUGCAAGAGGAGAAUGUCUUCCCUGAACGACCUGGACAGCCUGAAUGCCAGUUUUACAUG